This 1095-nucleotide long non-coding RNA is filed under the name Heterocephalus glaber (naked mole-rat). Its description in RNAcentral is "lncRNA (ENSHGLG00000036640.1)". Lineage: Eukaryota; Metazoa; Chordata; Mammalia; Rodentia; Bathyergidae. The record is from RNAcentral.
CGGGGAGCGGCCACCGGCUGCGUCCACGUCCGCACGGGAGAGGGGAGAGGGGCAGUGUCGGCUGGACCCUGCGCCUGAGCCUGCGGCCGAGCAGGGAGCCCGGGAGCCCAGGAAGCGCAUCGGGCAGAGAACCGCUGGUCCUGGGGACACAGUGACGGGGCCAGGCCGGGGCUGCCGGCCUCGGGACAGAGCAGCAGCAGGCGGGUGCCACAGCAACAAAUCCAUGCCCCAUGAGAUGCAGGGUGACAGGAAAGAAGGGGAGAACUGGUGUUGACUCCAGCUAACUCACUGAAGUUCCGUGGAAGCCAUCCUGGUCGCAGCAGAGGUUGGGGUCAAAGUGUCCUGGAUCAGGACUCAUCUGCACACUCGGUAGUUCGCUGAUCUCACACUAGCCAAGUAUUUUCCUGCCUGGAAAUGGACAGCACUCUUGAUCUGAGGAGAGAAGGUGGGGAGCCCCUGCCCAGGCCUCGCACAAAGGCUGCUACAUCUUCUCUGUUUCCAUGGGGGCCCAGAGCCUCGCUGGCCACACACCCCUGGAGCUGACAUCUUGAGCUACACAGAGUCAACAGGAUCGCCUUGAAUCACUUCCCCACCUCACUCUGUACACCGAAGUAGAUGCCUGAAUCAGAGAAGACGCAUUUCUAAUGCAAACCAGAGGAGCGCUCAAGGGGGACCGUGGCUGAGUUUUAAGUCUUCUCCGUGGAGACAAAGUUCGUCAUGACGUGGCACAGCCUCAGUGCUGCCAGAGGAAAGCAGGCAAGUUGGAAUCUGCAAUCGCUGAUAACGUCUAUUCAUUUAAAAACAGGUGAAGAGGGCCCAGGGAUUUAGCUCAGUGGUUUUGUUGCCUGCUGCACAAGCGCAAGGACCUGAGUUCAAUCCCCAGUACCAAAAAAAAGAAAAUAAAUAAAUAAAAACAGGUGAAAAGAAAAUGUGGCCUAUCAACAAGUGAAAGACUAAUGACAAAUCAAAGAUUUUAUACAUUAAUCCUUAAAACUACUAAAAAAAUCAACAGAAAUGGACAAUAGUUAAGAGCAUAGUUUCAAUAAAUAAAUAAUAAAUGUUUAUGGCAAAUAGGCCAUAAGCGUGUAUACAAGG